Molecule: ribosomal RNA, 253 nt
Filed under: uncultured bacterium
Lineage: Bacteria
Description: partial 16S ribosomal RNA
Rfam family: Bacterial small subunit ribosomal RNA
Source: RNAcentral
UACGUAGGGGGCAAGCGUUGUCCGGAUUUAUUGGGCGUAAAGAGCGUGUAGGCGGCUAGGUAGGUCCGUUGUGAAAACUCGAGGCUCAACCUCGAGACGCCGAUGGAAACCAUCUAGCUAGAGUCCGGAAGAGGAGAGUGGAAUUCCUGGUGUAGCGGUGAAAUGCGCAGAUAUCAGGAGGAACACCAAUUGCGAAGGCAGCUCGCUGGGACGCUACUGACGCUGAGACGCGAAAGCGUGGGGAGCAAACAGG